ACCUCCCACCCGUGUCUAUCGUACCUUGUUGCUUCGGCGGGCCCGCCGUUUCGACGGCCGCCGGGGAGGCCUUGCGCCCCCGGGCCCGCGCCCGCCGAAGACCCCAACAUGAACGCUGUUCUGAAAGUAUGCAGUCUGAGUUGAUUAUCGUAAUCAGUUAAAACUUUCAACAACGGAUCUCUUGGUUCCGGCAUCGAUGAAGAACGCAGCGAAAUGCGAUAAGUAAUGUGAAUUGCAGAAUUCAGUGAAUCAUCGAGUCUUUGAACGCACAUUGCGCCCCCUGGUAUUCCGGGGGGCAUGCCUGUCCGAGCGUCAUUGCUGCCCUCAAGCACGGCUUGUGUGUUGGGCCCCCGUCCCCCUCUCCCGGGGGACGGGCCCGAAAGGCAGCGGCGGCACCGCGUCCGGUCCUCGAGCGUAUGGGGCUUUGUCACCUGCUCUGUAGGCCCGGCCGGCGCCAGCCGACACCCAACUUUAUUUUUCUAAGGUUGACCUCGGAUCAGGUAGGGAUACCCGCUGAACUUAAGCAUAUCAAUAAGCGGAGGAAAAGAAACCAACAGGGAUUGCCUCAGUAACGGCGAGUGAAGCGGCAAGAGCUCAAAUUUGAAAGCUGGCCCCUUCGGGGUCCGCGUUGUAAUUUGCAGAGGAUGCUUCGGGUGCAGCCCCCGUCUAAGUGCCCUGGAACGGGCCGUCAUAGAGGGUGAGAAUCCCGUCUGGGACGGGGUGUCUGCGUCCGUGUGAAGCUCCUUCGACGAGUCGAGUUGUUUGGGAAUGCAGCUCUAAAUGGGUGGUAAAUUUCAUCUAAAGCUAAAUACUGGCCGGAGACCGAUAGCGCACAAGUAGAGUGAUCGAAAGAUGAAAAGCACUUUGAAAAGAGAGUUAAACAGCACGUGAAAUUGUUGAAAGGGAAGCGUUUGCGACCAGACUCGCCCGCGGGGUUCAGCCGGCAUUCGUGCCGGUGUACUUCCCCGUGGGCGGGCCAGCGUCGGUUUGGGCGGCCGGUCAAAGGCCCUCGGAAUGUAUCACCUCUCGGGGUGUCUUAUAGCCGAGGGUGCAAUGCGGCCUGCCUGGACCGAGGAACGCGCUUC
This 1085-nucleotide small RNA is filed under the name Aspergillus fumigatus. Its description in RNAcentral is "eukaryotic LSU rRNA". The stretch from base 487 to 1085 matches the Rfam family "Eukaryotic large subunit ribosomal RNA", at positions 1 to 603 of the family's 3401-position model. The record is from RNAcentral. Lineage: Eukaryota; Fungi; Ascomycota; Eurotiomycetes; Eurotiales; Aspergillaceae.